GCCAGACUCCUACGGGAGGCAGCAGUGGGGGAUAUUGCACAAUGGGGGGAACCCUGAUGCAGCGACGCCGCGUGGGUGAGGAAGUAUUUCGGUAUGUAAAGCCCUAUCGGCAGGGAAGAAAUUGGACGGUACCUGACUAAGAAGCCCUGGCUAACUACGUGCCAGCAGCCGCGGGAAUACGUAGGGGGCAAGCGUUAUCCGGAUUUACUGGGUGUAAAGGGAGCGUAGACGGCCAGACAAGUCAGAAGUGAAAGCCCAGGGCUCAACCCUGGGACUGCUUUUGAAACUGCCGGGCUGGAGUGCAGGAGAGGUAAGCGGAAUUCCUAGUGUAGCGGUGAAAUGCGUAGAUAUUAGGAGGAACACCAGUGGCGAAGGCGGCUUACUGGACGGCAACUGACGUUGAGGCCCGAAAGCGUGGGGAGCGAACAGGAUUAGAUACCCCCGUACA
Molecule: ribosomal RNA, 448 nt
Filed under: uncultured bacterium
Lineage: Bacteria
Description: bacterial SSU rRNA
Rfam family: Bacterial small subunit ribosomal RNA
Source: RNAcentral